AUGAACGCUGGCGGCGUGCCUAAUACAUGCAAGUCGAGCGAACAGACGAGGAGCUUGCUCCUCUGACGUUAGCGGCGGACGGGUGAGUAACACGUGGAUAACCUACCUAUAAGACUGGGAUAACUUCGGGAAACCGGAGCUAAUACCGGAUAAUAUAUUGAACCGCAUGGUUCCAUAGUGAAAGACGGUUUUGCUGUCACUUAUAGAUGGAUCCGCGCCGCAUUAGCUAGUUGGUAAGGUAACGGCUUACCAAGGCAACGAUGCGUAGCCGACCUGAGAGGGGGACAGGCAAAACUGGAACGGAAAAACGGCCAAAAACCCAAGGGGAGGCAGAGGGAGGAAAUCUUCCGAAAGGGGGAAAAGCCUGACGAGGAAAGGCGGGGGGAGGGAGAAAGGGUUUGGGAUGGAAAAACCCUGUUAUUGGGAAAAAAAAAAUGGGUAAGUAAAAAAGACGGUUUGAAGGGAACCUAAUCAGAAAACCACGGCAAACAAGGG
RNAcentral lists this ribosomal RNA (495 nucleotides) under uncultured bacterium. RNAcentral describes it as "partial 16S ribosomal RNA". It matches the Rfam family "Bacterial small subunit ribosomal RNA", at positions 30 to 506 of the family's 1533-position model. The record is from RNAcentral.